GCAAGUCGAGCGCACCUUCGGGUGAGCGGCGGACGGGUUAGUAACGCGUGGGAAUAUACCCAGUUCUAAGGAAUAGCCUCGGGAAACUGAGAGUAAUACCUUAUACGCCCUUCGGGGGAAAGAUUUAUCGGAAUUGGAUUAGCCCGCGUUAGAUUAGGUAGUUGGUGGGGUAAUGGCCUACCAAGCCUACGAUCUAUAGCUGGUUUGAGAGGAUGAUC
This 218-nucleotide ribosomal RNA is filed under the name uncultured bacterium. RNAcentral's name for it is "partial 16S ribosomal RNA". It matches the Rfam family "Bacterial small subunit ribosomal RNA", at positions 57 to 305 of the family's 1533-position model. The record is from RNAcentral.